RNAcentral lists this ribosomal RNA (257 nucleotides) under uncultured bacterium. RNAcentral's name for it is "partial 16S ribosomal RNA". It matches the Rfam family "Bacterial small subunit ribosomal RNA", at positions 524 to 776 of the family's 1533-position model. The record is from RNAcentral.
UACGUAGGGUGCGAGCGUUAAUCGGAAUUACUGGGCGUAAAGCGUGCGCAGGCGGUCUGUUAAGACCGAUGUGAAAUCCCCGGGCUUAACCUGGGAACUGCAUUGGUGACUGGCAGGCUUUGAGUGUGGCAGAGGGAGGUAGAAUUCCACGUGUAGCAGUGAAAAUGCGUUAGAGAUGUGGAGGAAUACCGAUGGCGAAGGCAGCCUCCUGGGCCAACACUGACGCUCAUGCACGAAAGCGUGGGGGAGCAAACAGG